AUACGGAGGGUGCAAGCGUUAUUCGGAAUCACUGGGCGUAAAGGACGCGUAGGCGGGUUGGCAAGUCAGAUGUGAAAUCCUACAGCUUAACUGUAGAACUGCAUUUGAAACUGCUAACCUAGAGUAUGGGAGGGGGAGAUGGAAUUAGUGGUGUAGGGGUAAAAUCCGUAGAUAUCACUAGGAAUACCGAAAGCGAAGGCGAUCUCCUGGAACAUAACUGACGCUAAGGCGUGAAAGCGUGGGGAGCAACCAGGAUUAGAAACCCUAGUAGUCC
RNAcentral lists this ribosomal RNA (274 nucleotides) under uncultured bacterium. RNAcentral describes it as "partial 16S ribosomal RNA". It matches the Rfam family "Bacterial small subunit ribosomal RNA", at positions 523 to 796 of the family's 1533-position model. The record is from RNAcentral.